Molecule: ribosomal RNA, 410 nt
Filed under: Akkermansia sp.
Lineage: Bacteria; Pseudomonadati; Verrucomicrobiota; Verrucomicrobiia; Verrucomicrobiales; Akkermansiaceae
Also listed under: 2 other names
Description: bacterial SSU rRNA
Rfam family: Bacterial small subunit ribosomal RNA
Source: RNAcentral
UCGAGAAUCAUUCACAAUGGGGGAAACCCUGAUGGUGCGACGCCGCGUGGGGGAAUGAAGGUCUUCGGAUUGUAAACCCCUGUCAUGUGGGAGCAAAUUAAAAAGAUAGUACCACAAGAGGAAGAGACGGCUAACUCUGUGCCAGCAGCCGCGGUAAUACAGAGGUCUCAAGCGUUGUUCGGAAUCACUGGGCGUAAAGCGUGCGUAGGCUGUUUCGUAAGUCGUGUGUGAAAGGCGCGGGCUCAACCCGCGGACGGCACAUGAUACUGCGAGACUAGAGUAAUGGAGGGGGAACCGGAAUUCUCGGUGUAGCAGUGAAAUGCGUAGAUAUCGAGAGGAACACUCGUGGCGAAGGCGGGUUCCUGGACAUUAACUGACGCUGAGGCACGAAGGCCAGGGGAGCGAAAGGG